GAUGAACGCUGGCGGCGUGCCUAAUACAUGCAAGUCGAGCGAACAGACGAGGAGCUUGCUCCUCUGACGUUAGCGGCGGACGGGUGAGUAACACGUGGGUAACCUACCUAUAAGACUGGGAUAACUUCGGGAAACCGGAGCUAAUACCGGAUAAUAUAUUGAACCGCAUGGUUCAAUAGUGAAAGACGGCUUUGCUGUCACUUAUAGAUGGAUCCGCGCCGCAUUAGCUAGUUGGUAAGGUAACGGCUUACCAAGGCGACGAUGCGUAGCCGACCUGAGAGGGUGAUCGGCCACACUGGAACUGAGACACGGUCCAGACUCCUACGGGAGGCAGCAGUAGGGAAUCUUCCGCAAUGGGCGAAAGCCUGACGGAGCAACGCCGCGUGAGUGAUGAAGGUCUUCGGAUCGUAAAACUCUGUUAUUAGGGAAGAACAAAUGUGUAAGUAACUAUGCACGUCUUGACGGUACCUAAUCAGAAAGCCACGGCUAACUACGUG
RNAcentral lists this ribosomal RNA (497 nucleotides) under uncultured bacterium. RNAcentral's name for it is "partial 16S ribosomal RNA". It matches the Rfam family "Bacterial small subunit ribosomal RNA", at positions 28 to 507 of the family's 1533-position model. The record is from RNAcentral.